UACGUAGGUCCCGAGCGUUGUCCGGAAUUACUGGGUGUAAAGGGUGCGCAGGCGGCCAUGUGCGUCAGAAGUGAAAUAUCACGGCUCAACCGUGAGGGUGCUUUUGAUACGGCGUGGCUUGAGUACGGGAGAGGAUGAUGGAAUUCCUGGUGUAGCAGUGAAAUGCGUAGAUAUCAGGAGGAACACCGGUGGCGAAGGCGGUCAUCUGGCCCGUAACUGACGCUCAGGCACGAAAGUGUGGGUAGCAAACAGG
Molecule: unclassified non-coding RNA, 253 nt
Filed under: uncultured Ignavibacteria bacterium
Lineage: Bacteria; Pseudomonadati; Ignavibacteriota; Ignavibacteria
Description: contains 16S-23S intergenic spacer region
Rfam family: Bacterial small subunit ribosomal RNA
Source: RNAcentral